UGGAGAGAGGCGGGGGUCCAUCAGAGACAAGGUGUCGGACACUAGGGAGAGACGGGGGUCCAUCACAGAGAAAGUGUCAGACAGUGGAGAGAGGCGGGGGUCCAUUAGAGAGAAGGUGGAGAGUAGAGAGAGGCGGGGGUCUAUCAGAGAGAAGGUGUCAGACAGUGGAGAGAAGCGAGGGUCCAUUAGAGAGAAGGUGGAGAGUAGAGAGAGGCGGGGGUCUAUCAGAGAGAAGGUGUCAGACAGUGGAGAGAAGGGAGGGUCCAUUAGAGAGAAGGUAGAGAGUAGAGAGAGGCGAGGGUCCAUCAGAGAGAAGGUGUCAGACAGUGGAGAGAAGCGAGGGUCCAUCAGAGAGAAGGUGUCAGACAGUGGAGAGAAGCGAGGGUCCAUUAGAGAGAAGGUGUCAGAGAGUAGAGAGAGGCGGGGGUCCAUCAGAGAGAAGGUGUCAGACAGUGGAGAGAGGCGGGGGUCCAUCAGAGAGAAGGCGAAAUUGAGUAGAGAGAAAUUGAGGCCCAGUGGAGAGAAGCUGAGGCCUGGUGAUAAACGUUCAAGAUCCACUGAAGAUAUACUGGAGUCAAAUACUGAGGAAUUGGAGUCUGAUGAGGUAAAACUGGAAGGGCAUUCAAGAACAGGAAGUGCCACAGAAGAGACUAUUGAAAGAGUGAUAAAUAUUAUUGGUAGUGAAAGUGUGAUGGAAAAUAUGAGUCAGGAAAUGCAAAGUCCUUCUGAAAGUGUGCAAGGGAUAGAUGACCACGAAGGCACAGAGAACGGAGUGGAAAUUGAUAGUCAUGUCUUGGAUGGAGAGAGAGAGAUUGCUGAUGAAUCUGUUCCUAAGGAAGAGAAAGACACACUUGGAGAAAGCUCCAAGGAAUCGGGUGGAUGAAAAAUUGAAGGUGAAGAAGGAGAUUGGAGUAUUGAAAGCCAAGGAGAAGCUAGAGCCAAGGACUUUGUUGGUCUUGAAAGGGUGACUAUGAGUGAGGAGUCUGGACCUCAAAGGAGCAUGGGAAAGGAACAGUAAGGGCCACUGGACAUGGAGGGCAAGCCAGCAUCAGUGGACGUGAAGAACAGGAAGGUGGGCAAUGAAAACAUUUUAAGGAGAAAGAAACGAUUUGGGAGCGUAUACUAAGAAGAUAGAAACGGACUGUUUCCUGUUGAAGAACCGUUUGAGAAACGGGUCUAGGGUGGCUGGGUUUUGACAGACAUGUACAUGGUCAGGGGUGUGAGAUGUAGGAGAAGGUCCAAACCAGAUUAGAGCAGGACAGAGGAGGUGAUUGAAGCAGACACCAAAACAGAGGCUCCAGCGGGGAGAAGCAAGGGGAGAGGCUGGAUGGAAUAAAAGACGAAGGACACGACAAUCCACACCCUGCCACAGUGCUUAGGCCCAUGUCCACCUGAGACCAUCAUUUGAAGAUUCCUCUGGUGAGUCUGUGAGCUGAGGUGUUGUCAUCUCUUUAAGAGAGACCUUCCUUGGCAUAAGGCAAGGCUCAGCGUUUGCCCCUGAGUGGGAAAUGACCUACACUUCAGGAAGUAUAGAUUCUGAUGAAUCACCAGAUUUCUGUUCCCUGGCUGGAUCACUUACCUGAAAUAUCAGAUGUAUUCCACCAGACCCCAGACACCAGUGAAGAUCAAGCUACUAUGACAAAUGACAAAUGCUACCUGCCUCGUAAGUACAGUUCCUAAGGCUUCCAGACCAGACCUGCUCGACAGCGUUCUCCUGACACCCUUCUGCUCUUGCACCUGGGCUCUUACACCACGGAGCACCCUUUCCUGAGGCCUUCCUCCGAAUCAAAGGAUAUCCAGAUGUACCAGUGGACAAAGGCCCGCUCCCUCAGAGGAGCCACUUGGUCCAAAGGCAUUUGGAAAACAGAAAAGAGACAACAGAGACGUUUUACAGCCUCUCCAAGUGUCUGGUAUGUGGACUAUUACUCUGUCUCAGAUUUUGCUGCUACUCAAGAAGUUUUGACUUAGCGAAGAAAAAAACCUAGACUCCCAACCUGUUGUUGCCCUUGUCUUAGUACUUGAGAUUUGGACUUGGACUUGGUGUCAAAUCGCCAUCCCAUCUGCUUGCAGAGCAUUAGUAGGGCCCACCCUCAGCCUUGGGCCACACCCAGUCAAGUGUCAUCAGGCCUAGCAGAAAGACUGGAGCCCUGAGAAGGAUGUGAAGCCAGGGCAGGAAGAAAGAGGCAAGGCACUGUUUAGGGGAAGGACAGGAGGAAGAGUCCAUCUUCUGGGCAAAGCAGGAGGAAGGUCUUUAAUGAAACAUCUCAGAGAACAGGGUGGGUCUGCAUAACCACCCCAGAUCCAAGGCACAGAGGAGGUUUGAAAUGUCCAGGAUAAAUAGUACCAGUGGGGUGGAGAAAGAGCCAGCUCCUCCCCUUUUAGUCUUACUAAACAGUCUCACUGUGGGCACCAAAAAUAUAUUAAUAUCUGUACAUUUGUCAUCUUUAAAAAAAAAAAGAAAGAAAAUAAAACCUCCUUGGCACCUUG
Arvicanthis niloticus (Nile rat) is the source of this 2487-nucleotide non-coding RNA. The record is from RefSeq and is a predicted model, not a curated record. Lineage: Eukaryota; Metazoa; Chordata; Mammalia; Rodentia; Muridae.